ACCGGCGCACGGGUGAGUAACACGUAUCCAACCUGCCGCUUACUCGAGGAUAGCCUUUCGAAAGAAAGAUUAAUACCCGAUGGUAUAAAGAGUUCGCAUGUUCUCUUUAUUAAAGAAUUUCGGUAAGCGAUGGGGAUGCGUUCCAUUAGAUUGUUGGCGGGGUAACGGCCCACCAAGUCUACGAUGGAUAGGGGUUCUGAGAGGAAGGUCCCCCACAUUGGAACUGAGACACGGUCCAAACUCCUACGGGAGGCAGCAGUGAGGAAUAUUGGUCAAUGGACGAGAGUCUGAACCAGCCAAGUAGCGUGAAGGAUGACUGCCCUAUGGGUUGUAAACUUCUUUUAUAAGGGAAUAAAGUGAGGGACGUGUCCCUUUUUGUAUGUACCUUAUGAAUAAGGAUCGGCUAACUCCGUGCCAGCAGUCGCGGUAAUACGGAGGAUCCAAGCGUUAUCCGGAUUUAUUGGGUUUAAAGGGUGCGUAGGCGGGAGAUUAAGUCAGUGGUGAAAGUUUGCAGCUCAACUGUAAAAUUGCCAUUGAAACUGAUUUUCUUGAGUGUAAAUAAGGUAGGCGGAAUGUGUUGUGUAGCGGUGAAAUGCUUAGAUAUAACACAGAACACCAAUUGCGAAGGCAGCUUACUGGGAUACAACUGACGCUGAGGCACGAAAGCGUGGGGAUCAAACAGGAUUAGAUACCCUGGUAGUCCACGCA
This 708-nucleotide ribosomal RNA is filed under the name uncultured bacterium. RNAcentral's name for it is "bacterial SSU rRNA". It matches the Rfam family "Bacterial small subunit ribosomal RNA", at positions 94 to 801 of the family's 1533-position model. The record is from RNAcentral.